Long non-coding RNA from Biomphalaria glabrata, 463 nucleotides. RefSeq lists it as uncharacterized. The record is from RefSeq and is a predicted model, not a curated record. NCBI's taxonomy places the organism in Eukaryota, Metazoa, Mollusca, Gastropoda, Planorbidae. The transcript is spliced from 3 exons.
AUUUUAGUACCUAAAUGUGCAUUUUGUUGCACCAGCCAGUUCCAGAGAAAGGAGUAUAUAUAUGUUGUGCAAUCAUUGAAAGGAGUUUCCUCAGGGCUGUGGUUUAAACAUAUUUGACAACACAAAACUAUGAUCUCAAGCACUACACAUAAUAUCAAACAGUUUUAAAAAUCUCUUGACCUAGAUUGAAGAGGACAGUUAACCAUGCCGAAGUACAAAUGCCGUUUGAUUGUCAGCUCUGUCAUCUAUUUGACAGCAGUGGCACUACUCUUUGUAGGGCUCCUUACUGAGGGAUGGUUUGAAUAUUACGGAUAUUCUUUUAGUUUUAAUGGAAGAAGUUCUGCCGACGAUACUGUGGAUAGAAAUGGCUACAUUACAGCAAUAGUUAUACUACUUAUUAUAGCGAUUAGCUUUGCCUCUUUGUGCUGCCUUCUAAGCUGUAUCAUGUUCUGUGCUGCCUUCU